GGAUUUGAGGGCACUCUGACUGCUACAUCUGUCACCUCCAUAGAUUUCCAGGUUUGAUUUGGCUGGUCUGGCUGCCUAGGGAGGUGUCUCCUUCCUCUCUCACUUAUCCAUGUGUGUCCCUACUGAGGUUGCAUACUUGGUAGAAGAGCACAACCACCCCUAACGGAGGAAGACCAUUUCUUUGGUCAAGUGUAUAUGAGUAGCUUCACUCCCCUGCUAAAAUUUUGAAAUAGCCUCUCAAAACAAAUUUCAUAGUAUCCCAGAAAGCAUGCUACAGUAAAUGCAAAAAAACCAAAACUUU
RNAcentral lists this small nuclear RNA (301 nucleotides) under Octodon degus (degu). RNAcentral's name for it is "7SK RNA (ENSODEG00000024170.1)". It matches the Rfam family "7SK RNA". Rfam says of the family: 7SK was discovered as an abundant small nuclear RNA in the mid-70s but a possible function has only recently been suggested. Two independent studies have found that 7SK RNA binds the CDK9/cyclin T complex (known as elongation factor P-TEFb). P-TEFb activates transcription by phosphorylating the C-terminal domain of RNA polymerase II. The record is from Rfam by way of RNAcentral. Lineage: Eukaryota; Metazoa; Chordata; Mammalia; Rodentia; Octodontidae.